RNAcentral lists this long non-coding RNA (379 nucleotides) under Vigna radiata. Its description in RNAcentral is "long non-coding RNA (VRAD_LNC008750)". Lineage: Eukaryota; Viridiplantae; Streptophyta; Magnoliopsida; Fabales; Fabaceae. The record is from RNAcentral.
UUUCACAUGCACAUGUCAUUACAAGGACUUUUUCCAAGGCUUGUAUUAUGGCUGGGCUAACAAGAAAAUUUGUUUUUCAGGAAUACAAAAUCCUUGAGUUAAGAGAGUUUAAAUAAUUCAAAGUUCAAGCACACUCUCUUUUUAACCAAUCUCACUCAUUCCCAACUUUUCCCUUUUUCAUUUUACAUUGAGUUCUUCUUUACAUGCAUAAACUUUUUUCUUCUUUUCUUUUCUUUCACAUGCAUUUUUCUUUUUCAUCUUUUGAACUCAAUGCUUUUCUUUUUCUUUUGCCUUUCACUUUCCCCUUUCCACCCCAAACUUGAACCUUUUCAACACAUAUAAUUAUUCUCAACCCUAACUCAAGGUAAAUCAAUUCAAU